Molecule: non-coding RNA, 3550 nt
Organism: Oncorhynchus mykiss (rainbow trout)
Lineage: Eukaryota; Metazoa; Chordata; Actinopteri; Salmoniformes; Salmonidae
Source: RefSeq, a predicted model, not a curated record
AAAGCUUUACAUGCUUAUUGCAAUGUGCUCUUGUUAGUUUGGAUGAGGUUUAAUCUUUGCCUCUGAUCUAAGAUCAGAUUUCUAACACCCCAGCCUGAUAGCUAAGGGGGUUUGGAAAUGGUGCUGAUCCUACAUCUGAUUAUGAAUAUAGGUUCAGUUGUAGAUUAUUUUCACUAGUGGGUAAUUGAAAAGUAAAAUAAUUGAAAAUGACUUUUAGAACACACCUUAGAGAGCAUGCUGAAGCUAUAUAUGGACACCCCUGCUGUGUACCUUUCAUCCACUUCCUGACAUAGUAAACCCCAAUCCAUCUCCAAGUACCAAGCAGAGACACAUUUUUCCAGUCUUUGGUAUGACUUGACUGGGGAUCGAACUCCCAGCCUUCCAAUGUCAGGGAGGGCAAAGCAUGAUCUUGACAAAGCAUGAUCUUGACACAGCAUGAUCUUAACACAGCAUGUGGUAAAAAACAAUACCAUGAAAAGUCUUAACAACACAAAAAUAACAAUACAAUGAACCAUAUGUUGUUGUUUUUACUUGAAGCUGCACUGUAAAGGAACAUGAAUAUAUUGGUCUUGUCAUGAUUUUAUUGUUUUUGCUGGUAGAGUAGAUAGCAGACCACGCUCUACCAGAUCAGAUACUCAUCAUGAGAGUUGGUGAGAGUGAGUGAGAGGAAGUGUGAACAGAGAGACAAAUUAUUGCGAAACUCCAUGUAUGCUGUAGUAGGCUAGAGUGGGAGGGUGUAUGUAGUGUAGUGGGGAGGUGAUCAUACUCAGUGCAUGGCCACUCUAUAAGAUGCUCAUUUGCAUUUGCCUCGCUCUUUCUGACUGAUUGAAACUUAACACCAGAGGUAACCGUUCUCUCUCUGUCAAGAUUUAUUUUGGUUAAGACCAGUUUUGCUUUCUGUGACUGCUCUUUGGGGAGGUGGUCGUUUCUGUGAAGGAUUUCCACAUUUCUCAUAUCUAGAAGUGGAAUUUGUUUCUUCCACUACUUUUUGUCUUGUCUUGUCUGCUGACAAGACGACCUGAGGAGUCAUACUGUACAACCCACACUAGUGCUUGGUCUUGCUCUGGGAAAUCUCUCUGUGUCUCUCGUUGUGUUCCGGGACCCCUGGUGCGUGGACCUCGCUCAUUUACUACUUGACUACCUCUUGGAGGAUCCUUUUUCAGUUCCUUAUAUUCUCUGAUCGGAGAGAUCAUGGCUGAGGGUGGUGUCCCGUACCCCUCCGUGUUCAUGGUGGAUAGCCAUGCAGCCUACCCACCGCUGCCCCCCAAACCGAGACCUCCUGGUCGGGGUGGUGUGGCCCAAAGCCUGCUGUUCUUGCUGGUUGGUCUGGCUUUGUGUGGCUUGGCCAUAGAGGCCUGCUUCAUCUACCACCUCUACUCCAAACAGGGAUCUGUGGAGUCAGGGUCAGCUGGUAUGAGUAUCCAAGACCAUGAGGAAUUUCCGAAGGAGGUUCCCCCAACUUCAAGACCAAACCCUAUUGUGUUGCCUUCAAAACCUGUUGCACAUCUGACAGCUGGACCUCAAGCACCCCAUGGAGAUGGAGUCAUGGUAUGGAACAUGCAGGCAGAACCAAUCCUCCAUGAAAUGGAGUACAAAGAUGGGAAGCUUGUCAUCCAGAAGGAAGGCUACUACUACGUCUACUCUAAGAUCUUCUUCAGUGAGGUCGAUGUUGCGUUCACACACUCGGUCUGCAGAACUACUCCACGGUACCUUGGGAAGGACAUUGAACUCCUUAAGUCCAGGAGAUAUCACCCCAAGUUUGGGAAAAUGAUGUCCACAUCAAACAGCUACCUGGGAGGGGUGUUCCACCUCUUUGAAGAUGACUCCAUCUUUGUCAAAGUGAAAAAUGUCACUCAAGUUCGGAUACAACAUUCCACAGAGAACGUGUUUGGUAUCUAUAUGAUAUAAUACGGGUUGAUGAUGAAGAUACUUUUUUUUAGAUAGCUGGCUGAUUAUCAUUGGUUUAAGGCAUAAUAAUACUGUAGGCCAAUUUACAUGUAAUAUUGCUACGCAGGGCCUUCCCCCUUCCCGGCACAUCCUCAUUUUCUUUAAACAAAUCCUUGCAUCAAGAUGCAUUUCGAUGAGUGGAAAGUGUACUGUUGAAGAAAAAGCCCCUUUAUAAUAAAUGUGCCAUACACUAGGCUACAGUUGAGCAGAGGCGUUUUUAGGAUUUCCACACAUGGAUUUUUUUUAGCAGGGUCGUAAAAUAAUCUGCCUUUUAAAAAAGGCAUGUCAUGCAGUUCUACGUCAUUUACAUGAAAGACAUUAGUUGAAUCUUGUAAUUACCACACAACUGACUGAAAUGACUGGAUACUCUGACACUGACAAACUGAGAUCAAUCUGGUCUUGAAUUCAAACAAACAAUAGCCCAGGCCAAUGAAGCGACACACGGAUUGUACAAUAUUCAGAGGAAAUAUAUAUAUAUAUAUAUAUAUAUAUAUAUACAGUAUAUCAUCGGUUACAGUGGGUUACUAAAUAAAACGUUGAGUGGCACACUGACUCACCUGAUGAUGAAGAUGAAGCCAUAGGCUUCUCACGGUGAGGGCUGAUGCGCUAGCUGUGGCAAUAGCCUAUCUCAAGAUGAGCUACUUUGAAAAAACAGUGCUGCUGUUAGCUAAAAAUUGGGAGUUGUUAAGAUUUUUUUUUUAUUGGUUCUAAAGACUGAUCAGUCUUCUCUUUUCACCAGUAGGCAUUUGUUUUCCAAACAGUGUGUUUUUCCCACAUUUUCAUUUUGAAAUCUACAAUCCAUAGAUCCAUAGAUGGCAGUUCCCAUUCAAGUCAGAACUGGCAUUCAUUGCUAGUGUACCCAUGAGUUUAACAGUCAAAUUCCCAGGGUAAGAGGUUACAAAACAUUUCAAUGGAGUAUAUAUCUAUGGCCAAAAAGCAACAAGCUGUAGCCUAUUUGGGGCGCAUGACCUUCCUGACUGUAGGCAUACCAGUAUCUGCCAAAAUAAAGGAAACACUCGAGUAACCAAGGGAUACAGUAUGUUACGGUGUGGGGUGCAUUUUCCUGGCAUGGUUUAUAUCCACAUGUAUAAUCUAAGGAGCAUGGAAGCUGUUCUGGCAGCUCAUAGUGGCAGCACCCUUUUAAGACACUUUUUGUUGGUGUUUGCUUAAUUUUGGAAGACAUCUAUGUGCUUGUGAUAAAACUUCAUUCACAGUUUUUUUUUAAAUAAACGAUUUAUCCUCUGUGGCUAAAUUAUGCUCUCAGUGUAUUUUGAAUAUUGAGAGCCGGCGCCUGUGGUUGGAUAAAAAAAUAAAUAUAUAUAAAAUAAAAAGUAUUAUUAUUUUUUGCCUCUUGGGCCCAGUCCUUGACUCACACAAUUGACCAGUCCUAUUUAUUUAUUAUGCAGUUAUUUUUUAAAAUUAUUAAUCAAUUACCCAAUCAAGACAGGGGACCCCCUACCUCCUCUCCUCCCCCCAUCUGAUGAUUAGUAGAGCGGCAGCAGGCAGCAGCUAGACUCAUUGAGAGCAGGGUCCUGAGUCUUCCUGUGAUUGAGUAUUGAGUGAAAAAGUAUCAAAUAUAUGCUACAGAUAUAAUAUAUACUAC